UUAUCCGACUUAAAAUGCUGGUGCAGUCUAUACUAAAGAACAAAACAAAACAUACCACCCCUUUCAGGACCAGGGCCCCAAUUACAAAAAUGAGAUUACCUAAUUACUGGACAGGCGAUACUGAAAGUGGUUUCUCAACUUUCAUGAGGGGAGAGUUAUUUGCGAGAUCACAAGUGUAAAUCUCACAAUGGCCGACAUCACAAGAGAACUUUUGUUUGUGAGGGUGUUCUUCGGCCUGUCCAGAGAUGAAAAGAAAAGGACAUGGCUGUCUGGGAAACUGAAGCCCGUUGGUGGAAGAAAAGCCACUUUGAGGUAUGAGGAAAAUAAAAGCAUCUAGAGAAAAAGAAAGGGGGCAUUCAGUGCUGUUAUUCCCAUACUGGACUCCUUCCUCAGCGUGUUAAAAUCAUUUACCAUUCCUGAAGAGAAGCAAGGCUCACAAUGAUGACAACUAUGGAGGCAGAUGGCAGCAGGUUUUCAGAAUUUCUAUGAGUAAUGCUAGGAGCAUUUCUUUCUGCGUGACUCACAGAAGACACUUGUUGUUUGAGACAAAGGAUAUGUGGGUGCCACCUCCCAUUUCCACGCAGAGGGGGAAAUGGAACUGGCUGUUGAAUCUUUUUCCAACCUUGGUGGUGGGAUUGCAUUUUUCACCACAACUAAAGCUGCCAGCAAGUCUAGGGAGCCAGUGACAGACAGUGUGAUAUAGAUAGCUAUGCCCAUCAAUAAAAGGAAUAGUCAAAA
Molecule: long non-coding RNA, 738 nt
Organism: Anolis carolinensis (green anole)
Lineage: Eukaryota; Metazoa; Chordata; Lepidosauria; Squamata; Anolidae
Exons: 2
Source: RefSeq, a predicted model, not a curated record